This is a long non-coding RNA of Arabidopsis thaliana (thale cress), 866 nucleotides long. RefSeq annotates it as other RNA. The transcript has 2 exons. The record is from RefSeq. Lineage: Eukaryota; Viridiplantae; Streptophyta; Magnoliopsida; Brassicales; Brassicaceae.
AAACUCGUGGCCACUGCUUCAACUCCAAAAUUGCAAUCGGCUAUCUUCUCUGUCGGCCAAAAUAUCGGCAACUAAACUCACCUUUUUAUAUUGAAAACGUAUUUUCGUCAAAUUCCUUUUUUGGCUGAUAUCUUUCUUCAUUAAAUAAAAAUGCUAACUUUCCAUGGUGGCAUGGUAUUUGGAUAUGACCGAUUCAAGAUAUUUGUUUUCAAUAACUUAUCGUUGAAGGAAAAAGCUUAAAUUCUUUAUUAGUAAUACGUCGAACAUUUAAAUAAAUUUAUCCAACUGUGAACUGUCAUAUGAUUCUUUGAAAUUGGUUACGUUCUCAAGUCUCUCAACAUAUAAUACGUACAUACUUAAGAAAAUUUACUGAGACGUUGUAAGAAUACUAAAAACCCAGCGGGGGGUGGGGUGGUGGUGGUUAUGGGGAAAUCGCAAACGAAAACACAAAUAGGUAUCGGUUGGAGUAUAAGACAUCUUCCCACUCGUGUACAAUGGCUGCUUUCGGUCUCUUUUUUGUCGAAUGUCUGCUGCCUGCGACCAUUUAUAUUCGUGGAUCUAACAAAUUCAAAUUGCUUCAUGAACAAGAUGAAUGUGUCCGGUUAGGAGAGUUACCCGAUGGAUCUAGCGAGGAGGAAGAGCCCGCUGCGAUAACCAAUCUCUUGCUUAGUGAACAUCCUACUACUUGCUAGAAGGUCGUAGUUUCUCCAGCAGUUCUUGGAAUGUGGGUCUCAGCUUUGUAUCGCUGCAGUGUGGGAUAAACAGAAAUACCAACGCAAAAUAAUGUCACUGUUAGCUGUGACUUAUGUUGAACAUCUAAAUCAAGGAGAACCGUGAUAAUGAAAGGUUGUAUUCUUUAGCAAGGA